AUAGUACCGUGAGGGAAAGGUGAAAAGAACCCCGGGAGGGGAGUGAAAUAGAACCUGAAAUCGUGUGCUUACAAGCGGUCAGAGCCCUUCGGGGUGAUGGCGUGCCUUUUGGAGAAUGAUCCUGCGAGUUACGUUCAGUGGCGAGGUUAAGUAUACCGGAGCCGCAGGGAAACCGAGUCUUAAUAGGGCGCAUAGUCGCUGGGCGUAGACGCGAAACUUGGUGAUCUAAUCCUGUCCAGGGUGAAGCUGUGGUAAGACACAGUGGAGGCCCGAACUCACCGCCGUUGAAAAGUUGGGAGAUGAGAUAGGUUUAGGGGUGAAACGCCAAUCGAACUAAGAGAUAGCUCGUUCUCUCCGAAAUGCAUUUAGGUGCAGCCUUAGGAGAUAAAUUACGGGGGUAGAGCACUGAAUGGUCUAGGGGGCAUAUUGCUUACUGAAACCAACCAAACUCCGAAUACCGUAAUUCCCAUCCUAGGAGUGAGACUAUGGGUACUAAGAUCCAUGGUCAAAAGGGAAACAACCCAGACCGUCAGCUAAGGUCCCUAAUUAUAGCUAAGUGGGAAAGGAGGUGGAGAUUCACAAACAACCAGGAGGUUGGCUUAGAAGCAGCCAUACCUUUAAAGAGUGCGUAAUAGCUCACUGGUCGAGAGUCUCUGCGCCGACAAUGUAACGGGGCUAAGCUAUAAACCGAAGCUACGGAAUUAUGCGUAUGCAUAAUUGGUAGGAGAGCGUUCUGUAGGCUGUUGAAGGAGGACUGAUAAGGAACUCUGGAGGUAUCAGAAGUGAGAAUGCAGGAAUAAGUAGCGAGAAAGAGGGUGAGAAUCCUUCUCGCCGGAAGACCAAGGUUUCCAGGGUAAAGCUUGUCUUCCCUGGGUAAGCCGGGACCUAAGCUGAGGCUAUAAUGCGUAGGCGAAUGGAAAACAGAUUAAUAUUUCUGUGCCACUUAUAUAUUGUGAAGGAGGGACGCAGAAGGGUAUGUAAGCAGGAGAACGGAAGUUCCUGUGUAAGCAUGUAGAGUGAAACGGCAGGCAAAUCCGCUGUUUUAGACUUGAGGUGUGAUGCGUAGCCCAUUAGGGCGAAUUUACAGAUCCCACGCUGCCAAGAAAAGCUUCUAGCGUUAAUAUAUAAGUGCCCGUACUGUAAACCGACACAGGUGGUCAGAAUGAGAAAUUUAAGGCGGACAGGCUAACUCUCGCUAAGGAACUCUGCAAAAUGAAUCCGUAACUUCGGGAGAAGGAUUGCCCCUUUGUGUAGAGAGCUGUGCGCUCAAAGCAUGAGGGGGUCGCAGUGAAGAGGCUCAGGCAACUGUUUAACAAAAACAUAGGUCUAUGCUAAGCUGUAAGGCGAUGUAUAUGGGCUGACACCUGCCCAGUGCCGGAAGGUUAAGAGGAGGAGUGAGAGCUCCGAAUUGAAGCCCCGGUGAACGGCGGCCGUAACUAUAACGGUCCUAAGGUAGCGAAAUUCCUUGUCGGGUAAG
RNAcentral lists this ribosomal RNA (1477 nucleotides) under human gut metagenome. RNAcentral describes it as "bacterial LSU rRNA". It matches the Rfam family "Bacterial large subunit ribosomal RNA", at positions 495 to 1980 of the family's 2925-position model. The record is from RNAcentral.